GACGAACGCUGGCGGCGUGCUCAACACAUGCAAGUCGAACGGAAAGGCCCUGCUUUUGUGGGGUGCUCGAGUGGCGAACGGGUGAGUAACACGUGAGUAACCUGCCCUUGACUUUGGGAUAACUUCAGGAAACUGGGGCUAAUACCGGAUAGGAGCUCCUGCUGCAUGGUGCGGGUUGGAAAGUUUCGGCGGUUGGGGAUGGACUCGCGGCUUAUCAGCUUGUUGGUGGGGUAGUGGCUUACCAAGGCUUUGACGGGUAGCCGGCCUGAGAGGGUGACCGGCCACAUUGGGACUGAGAUACGGCCCAGACUCCUACGGGAGGCAGCAGUGGGGAAUAUUGCACAAUGGGCGGAAGCCUGAUGCAGCAACGCCGCGUGCGGGAUGACGGCCUUCGGGUUGUAAACCGCUUUCGCCUGUGACGAAGCGUGAGUGACGGUAAUGGGUAAAGAAGCACCGGCUAACUACGU
RNAcentral lists this ribosomal RNA (467 nucleotides) under uncultured bacterium. Its description in RNAcentral is "partial 16S ribosomal RNA". It matches the Rfam family "Bacterial small subunit ribosomal RNA", at positions 28 to 506 of the family's 1533-position model. The record is from RNAcentral.